GUGCUCACUUCAGUAGUACAUAUACUAAAAUUGGAAUGUUACAGAGAAGAUUAGCAUGGCCUCUACGCAAGAAUGACACACGAUUUCGUGAAGCUUUCCAUUAAAAA
Otolemur garnettii (small-eared galago) is the source of this 107-nucleotide small nuclear RNA. The record is from Ensembl. NCBI's taxonomy places the organism in Eukaryota, Metazoa, Chordata, Mammalia, Primates, Galagidae.